Molecule: ribosomal RNA, 209 nt
Filed under: uncultured bacterium
Lineage: Bacteria
Description: partial 16S ribosomal RNA
Rfam family: Bacterial small subunit ribosomal RNA (bases 29-209)
Source: RNAcentral
CCUAUCCCCUGUGUGCCUUGGAGUCUCAGUGUCUCACAGUUUUGAUCCUGGCUCAGAUUGAACGCUGGCGGCAUGCUUUACACAUGCAAGUCGAACGGCAGCACGGGGGCAACCCUGGUGGCGAGUGGCGAACGGGUGAGUAAUGCAUCGGAACGUAUCUUCAAGUGGGGGAUAACGCACCGAAAGGUGUGCUAAUACCGCAUAAUCUC